RNAcentral lists this ribosomal RNA (443 nucleotides) under uncultured bacterium. RNAcentral describes it as "bacterial SSU rRNA". It matches the Rfam family "Bacterial small subunit ribosomal RNA", at positions 339 to 794 of the family's 1533-position model. The record is from RNAcentral.
AUACGGGAGGCAGCAGUGGGGAAUAUUGCACAAUGGGCGAAAGCCUGAUGCAGCGACGCCGCGUGAGGGAUGACGGCCUUCGGGUUGUAAACCUCUUUCAGCAGGGAAGAAGCGCAAGUGACGGUACCUGCAGAAGAAGCACCGGCUAACUACGUGCCAGCAGCCGCGGUAAUACGUAGGGUGCGAGCGUUGUCCGGAAUUAUUGGGCGUAAAGAGCUUGUAGGCGGUUUGUCGCGUCUGCUGUGAAAAUCCGGGGCUCAACCCCGGACUUGCAGUGGGUACGGGCAGACUAGAGUGUGGUAGGGGAGACUGGAAUUCCUGGUGUAGCGGUGAAAUGCGCAGAUAUCAGGAGGAACACCGAUGGCGAAGGCAGGUCUCUGGGCCAUAACUGACGCUGAGAAGCGAAAGCAUGGGGAGCGAACAGGAUUAGAUACCCCGGUAGU